Molecule: ribosomal RNA, 480 nt
Filed under: uncultured bacterium
Lineage: Bacteria
Description: partial 16S ribosomal RNA
Rfam family: Bacterial small subunit ribosomal RNA
Source: RNAcentral
GACGAACGCUGGCGGCGUGCUUAACACAUGCAAGUCGAGCGAUGAAACACCUUCGGGUGCGGAUUAGCGGCGAACGGGUGAGGAACACGUGAGGAAUCUGCCUUCCACUCUGGGAUAACUCCGGGAAACCGGGGCUAAUACCGGAUACUUUCAUCUGGCGGCAUCGCCGGUUGAAGAAAGCUUUUCGGUGGAAGAUGACCACGCGGCCUAUCAGCUUGUUGGUGAGGUAAAGGCUCACCAAGGCGACGACGGGUAACCGGACUGAGAGCGCGAGCGGCCACACUGGGAGUGAGACACGGCCCAGACUCCUACGGGAGGCAGCAGUGGGGAAUAGUGGGCAAUGAAGGGAGCUCUGACCCAGCGACGCAGCGUGAGGGAUGAAGGCCUUCGGGUUGUAAACCUCUUUCAGCAGGGAAUAAGCGAAAGUGAAGGUACCUGCAGAAGAAGCACCGGCUAACUAUGUGCCAGCCGCCGCCGUAA